This 1453-nucleotide ribosomal RNA is filed under the name uncultured organism. Its description in RNAcentral is "SSU rRNA". It matches the Rfam family "Bacterial small subunit ribosomal RNA". The record is from RNAcentral.
CGCUGGCGGCAGGCCUAACACAUGCAAGUCGAACGGUAACAGGAAGAAGCUUGCUUCUUUGCUGACGAGUGGCGGACGGGUGAGUAAUGUCUGGGAAACUGCCUGAUGGAGGGGGAUAACUACUGGAAACGGUAGCUAAUACCGCAUAACGUCGCAAGACCAAAGAGGGGGACCUUCGGGCCUCUUGCCAUCGGAUGUGCCCAGAUGGGAUUAGCUAGUAGGUGGGGUAACGGCUCACCUAGGCGACGAUCCCUAGCUGGUCUGAGAGGAUGACCAGCCACACUGGAACUGAGACACGGUCCAGACUCCUACGGGAGGCAGCAGUGGGGAAUAUUGCACAAUGGGCGCAAGCCUGAUGCAGCCAUGCCGCGUGUAUGAAGAAGGCCUUCGGGUUGUAAAGUACUUUCAGCGGGGAGGAAGGGAGUAAAGUUAAUACCUUUGCUCAUUGACGUUACCCGCAGAAGAAGCACCGGCUAACUCCGUGCCAGCAGCCGCGGUAAUACGGAGGGUGCAAACGUUAAUCGGAAUUACUGGGCGUAAAGCGCACGCAGGCGGUUUGUUAAGUCAGAUGUGAAAUCCCCGGGCUCAACCUGGGAACUGCAUCUGAUACUGGCAAGCUUGAGUCUCGUAGAGGGGGGUAGAAUUCCAGGUGUAGCGGUGAAAUGCGUAGAGAUCUGGAGGAAUACCGGUGGCGAAGGCGGCCCCCUGGACGAAGACUGACGCUCAGGUGCGAAAGCGUGGGGAGCAAACAGGAUUAGAUACCCUGGUAGUCCACGCCGUAAACGAUGUCGACUUGGAGGUUGUGCCCUUGAGGCGUGGCUUCCGGAGCUAACGCGUUAAGUCGACCGCCUGGGGAGUACGGCCGCAAGGUUAAAACUCAAAUGAAUUGACGGGGGCCCGCACAAGCGGUGGAGCAUGUGGUUUAAUUCGAUGCAACGCGAAGAACCUUACCUGGUCUUGACAUCCACGGAAGUUUUCAGAGAUGAGAAUGUGCCUUCGGGAACCGUGAGACAGGUGCUGCAUGGCUGUCGUCAGCUCGUGUUGUGAAAUGUUGGGUUAAGUCCCGCAACGAGCGCAACCCUUAUCCUUUGUUGCCAGCGGUCCGGCCGGGAACUCAAAGGAGACUGCCAGUGAUAAACUGGAGGAAGGUGGGGAUGACGUCAAGUCAUCAUGGCCCUUACGACCAGGGCUACACACGUGCUACAAUGGCGCAUACAAAGAGAAGCGACCUCGCGAGAGCAAGCGGACCUCAUAAAGUGCGUCGUAGUCCGGAUUGGAGUCUGCAACUCGACUCCAUGAAGUCGGAAUCGCUAGUAAUCGUGGAUCAGAAUGCCACGGUGAAUACGUUCCCGGGCCUUGUACACACCGCCCGUCACACCAUGGGAGUGGGUUGCAAAAGAAGUAGGUAGCUUAACCUUCGGGAGGGCGCUUACCACUUUGUGAUUCAUGACUG